GUGGGGAAUAUUGGACAAUGGGCGAAAGCCUGAUCCAGCAAUGCCGCGUGAGUGAUGAAGGCCUUAGGGUUGUAAAGCUCUUUUACCCGGGAAGAUAAUGACUGUACCGGGAGAAUAAGCCCCGGCUAACUCCGUGCCAGCAGCCGCGGUAAUACGGAGGGGGCUAGCGUUGUUCGGAAUUACUGGGCGUAAAGCGCACGUAGGCGGUUUUGUAAGUUAGAGGUGAAAGCCUGGGGCUCAACCCCAGAAUUGCCUUUAAGACUGCAUCACUUGAACGUCGGAGAGGUGAGUGGAAUUCCGAGUGUAGAGGUGAAAUGCGUAGAUAUUCGGAAGAACACCAGUGGCGAAGGCGGCUCACUGGACGACUGUUGACGCUGAGGUGCGAAAGCGUGGGGAGCAAACAGGAUUAGAAACCCUUGUAGUCC
This 425-nucleotide ribosomal RNA is filed under the name uncultured bacterium. RNAcentral describes it as "partial 16S ribosomal RNA". It matches the Rfam family "Bacterial small subunit ribosomal RNA", at positions 354 to 796 of the family's 1533-position model. The record is from RNAcentral.